CACAUUCCUCUCUCCAGACUGUGUUGGUCUGAAGCACAGACCAGCGCCUGUGACAGAGAUCUUUUUUUUGCUUUUUAGUUAGUUAGCUAGCUAGGGCAGAGAUGUUCCCUGGAAGUUUUGGGGUUUUUUUCCUUUUUCUUGGGACUCUUUGAAUCUGCUCCAGACUGAAAACCCCAGAGAAGCACCGAGGGCUAGCACCUGCACCCCACUGGGCCUGGACUUCCAGAGGGACUGCGACUGACAAAGAACUGAGUGAGCCAAGCCACCCACGGCAAGGAUUUUCUCAGGUUUACCUUCUCUGUUCGGAGCAGCGAGAGAUCUACUGACUGGAUGGUCAUCACAGUGGACCUGUCAAACAUCUCACAGGACCUGACGGUUUACCAUAUGGGAUUGGACAAGAAAACCUACCUCCCACUCAACCCUGUGAUGAACCCCAUCCAAGUUGUCAUCCUGCUAAUGCUGAACAGUCUGGCAGCUGCAUGGAUCGUCACAGUCAUUGCUAUAUGCAAAUGAAUGGAAACUUGUAAAAGGGGCCUCUGUUUCAGCCUCAAGGCAUCAGACGCACCCCCUGGCCUGGUUUGAAGAUUCACCAUGACCUAUGAGGAGUCUGAAUGGAAUGGGAACCAGCCAGCUCAAGUGACAGAGAACGGGAAACUCUCGAGGUCUUUCCCUGAGGGUAAAGAGCUGACUCUGUACUCCAGUGACAGACCUCCACCGCUCUGCCUUCUGAUGGAUGACCAGAGAGAGCUUCUAGCUGUUCCCCUGGAGACAAGGACUCGGCACCUACUGUGGGCAGCUGAGUGAAGAACUGCAACAGUACCUGCUCCUUCAGAUUGCCACAGCAGCGUGAAAAACUCCUCUUAGACUCUACAGUCCUGCUGAUGACUUUAAAAAAUAGCUGAUCACUUUAAUAAAGAGGUGAAUAUUAUUAAA
Molecule: long non-coding RNA, 933 nt
Organism: Prinia subflava (tawny-flanked prinia)
Lineage: Eukaryota; Metazoa; Chordata; Aves; Passeriformes; Cisticolidae
Exons: 4
Source: RefSeq, a predicted model, not a curated record